UACAGAGGGUGCGAGCGUUAAUCGGAAUUACUGGGCGUAAAGCGUGCGUAGACGGCUAUCUAAGUCGGGUGUGAAAGCCCCGGGCUCAACCUGGGAAUUGCAUUCGAGACUGAAUAGCUAGGGUACGGUAGAGGGAAGUGGAAUUUCCGGUGUAGCGGUGAAAUGCGUAGAUAUCGGAAGGAACAUCAGUGGCGAAGGCAAUCCCCUGGGCCUCGCACUGACGCUCAUGCACGAAAGCGUGGGGAGCAAACAGG
Molecule: ribosomal RNA, 254 nt
Filed under: uncultured bacterium
Lineage: Bacteria
Description: partial 16S ribosomal RNA
Rfam family: Bacterial small subunit ribosomal RNA
Source: RNAcentral